This 500-nucleotide ribosomal RNA is filed under the name uncultured bacterium. RNAcentral describes it as "partial 16S ribosomal RNA". It matches the Rfam family "Bacterial small subunit ribosomal RNA", at positions 30 to 523 of the family's 1533-position model. The record is from RNAcentral.
AUUGAACGCUGGCGGCAUGCCUUACACAUGCAAGUCGAACGGCAGCACGGGAGCAAUCCUGGUGGCGAGUGGCGAACGGGUGAGUAAAGUAUCGGAACGUGCCCAGUCGUGGGGGAUAACGUAGCGAAAGUUACGCUAAUACCGCAUACGAUCUAUGGAUGAAAGCGGGGGAUCGCAAGACCUCGCGCUAUUGGAGCGGCCGAUAUCAGAUUAGGUAGUUGGUGGGGUAAAGGCUCACCAAGCCGACGAUCGGUAGCUGGUCUGAGAGGACGACCAGCCACACUGGGACUGAGACACGGCCCAGACUCCUACGGGAGGCAGCAGUGGGGAAUUUUGGACAAUGGGCGCAAGCCUGAUCCAGCCAUGCCGCGUGCAGGAUGAAGGCCUUCGGGUUGUAAACUGCUUUUGUACAGAACGAAAAGGUUUCUACUAAUACUAGGAGCUCAUGACGGUACUGUAAGAAUAAGCACCGGCUAACUACGUGCCAGCCGCCGCCGUAA